CAGGCCUAACACAUGCAAGUCGAGCGGAUGAAGGGAGCUUGCUCUCUGAUUCAGCGGCGGACGGGUGAGUAAUGCCUAGGAAUCUGCCUAGUAGUGGGGGACAACGUUUCGAAAGGAACGCUAAUACCGCAUACGUCCUACGGGAGAAAGUGGGGGAUCUUCGGACCUCACGCUAUUAGAUGAGCCUAGGUCGGAUUAGCUAGUUGGUAGGGUAACGGCCUACCAAGGCGACGAUCCGUAACUGGUCUGAGAGGAUGAUCAGUCACACUGGAACUGAGACACGGUCCAGACUCCUACGGGAGGCAGCAGUGGGGAAUAUUGGACAAUGGGCGAAAGCCUGAUCCAGCCAUGCCGCGUGUGUGAAGAAGGCCCUCGGGUCGUAAAGCACUUUAAGUUGGGAGGAAGGGCUCAUAGCGAAUACCUGUGAGUUUUGACGUUACCAACAGAAUAAGCACCGGCUAACUUCGUGCCAGCAGCCGCGGUAAU
RNAcentral lists this ribosomal RNA (486 nucleotides) under uncultured bacterium. RNAcentral describes it as "bacterial SSU rRNA". It matches the Rfam family "Bacterial small subunit ribosomal RNA", at positions 43 to 524 of the family's 1533-position model. The record is from RNAcentral.